Molecule: RNA transcript, 1989 nt
Organism: Cebus imitator (Panamanian white-faced capuchin)
Lineage: Eukaryota; Metazoa; Chordata; Mammalia; Primates; Cebidae
Gene name: alpha-enolase-like
Exons: 1
Source: RefSeq, a predicted model, not a curated record
UGGUGUCUGCAACACCCUCUGCUUCUCUCCUAGGCAAUGAGAAUCAGAAGCUAGAAAUUCACCAUGUCUAUUCUCAAGAUCCAUGCCAGGGAGAUCUUUGACUCUCGUGGGAAUCCCACUGUUGAGGUUGAUCUCUUCACCGCAAAAGGUCUCUUCAGAGCUGCCGUGCCCAGUGGUGCUUCAACUGGUAUCUAUGAGGCCCUAGAGCUCUGGGACAUGCUAAGACUCGCUAUAUGGGGAAGGGUGUCUCAAAGGCUGUUGAGCAUAUCAAUAAAACUAUUGCACCUGCCCUGUUCAGCAAGAAACUGAACGUCACAGACCAAGAGAAGAUUGACAUACUGAUGAUCGAGAUGGAUGGAACAGAAAAUAAAUCUAAGCUUGGCGUGAAUGCCAUUGUGGGGGUGUCCCUCGCUGUCUGCAAAGCUGGUGCUGUUGACAAAGGGGUUCCCCUGUACCACCACAUAGCCAACUUGGCUGGCACUUCCAAAGUCAUCGUGCCAGUCCUGGCAUUCUGUGUCAUCAAUGGCGGUUCCAUGCUGGCAGCAAGCUGGCCAUGCAGGAGUUCAUGAUCCUCCCAGUGGGUGCCACAAACUUCAGGGAAGCCAUGCACACUAGAGUGGAGGUUACCACAACCUGAAGAACGCCAUCAAGGAGAAACAUGGGAAAGACACCAAUGUAGGGGCUGAAGGCGGGUUUGCUCCCAAUGUCCUGAAGAAUAAAGAAGGCCUGGAGCUGCUGAAGCCGCCGAGUGGGAAAGCUGGCUACACGGACAAGGUGGUCAUCCACCUGGACAUAGUGGCCUCCAAGUUCUUCAGGUCUGGGAAGUACGACCUGGACUUCAAGUCUCCGAUGACCCCAGCAGGUACAUCUCACCUGACCAGCUGGCUGACCCGUACAAGUCCUUCAUCAAGGACUAUCCAGUGGUGUCUAUUGAAGACCCCUUUAACCAGGAUGACUGGGGAGCUUGGCAGAAGUUCGCGGCCAGUGCAGGAAUCCAGGUAGUGCAGGACGAUCUCACAGCGACCAACCCAAAGAGGAUUGCCAAGGCCACGAAUGACGAGUCGUGCCACUGCCUCCUGCUCAAAGUCAACUAGAUUGGCUCCAUGACCGAGUCCCCUCAGGUGCAAGCUGGCCCAGGCCAGUGGUUGGAGUGUCAUGGUGUCUCACUGUUCUGGGGAGACUGAAGAUGCCUUCAUCAUGGACCUGGUGGUGAGGCUGUGCACUGGGCAGAUCAAGACUGGUGCCCCUUGCCAAUCUGAACGCCUGGCCAAGUACAACCUGCUCCUCAGAACUGAAGAGGAGCUGGGCAGCAAGGCUGUUUGCUGGCAGGAACUUCAGAAACCCCCUGGCCAAAUAAGCUGUGGGGAGGCCAGCCCUUCAGUCACCUGUUACCUAAUUAGACCCCUCCCCUCGUGUCAGCUUGGGCAGCUUGAGGCUCCCGACCAACACUGGCAGGGACCCCUGCUAGUUAGCUCCCCUCGCCCACCGCCAUGGAGUUCACACCGCUUCCUUAGAACGUCUUCAGAAGCCAAGCUCCCUGGAGCCCUAUUGGCAGCCCUCGCUUUGCAGUCAUGUAACUGGCCCACAUCAUUGUUUUUCUCGCCUCACUUCCCACCAAGACUUGUGAGCCUCCAGGGUCAUCUCCAGGGUGGCCACAGGCAAGAUCCCCAGUGAUUUUGUGCUCAAAAUAAAAAAGCCUCAGUGACCCAUGAGAAAAAAGAAAGAAAGAAAGAAAACAGCAAUGAGAACUGAACCCGUCUUGUUGGUUUAUUGUUAUAAAGUACCUGGGUGAAUUAACAGGAUGCUGGUAUUAUACUGUGAUACUCUUCAGAACACCUGCCCAUCUUUUUUAUGCAAAUAUGUUUAUAAUCUGUGGACUAUCCGUAAUGUCAUUUGCUCAAGUAUUUUAAAAAAGACAUACAGAAACUGAUGGUUAUUGGGAAAACAGGAAGUAGGGGGGUAAUAAAGGCCAUGGGAAUAGUGGUUGAC